UGCGGGGUAGUCAAGUGGUAAGACGCCAGGCUCAUAUCCUGGAAAUUGCGGGUCCGACUCCCUCUACCGCUA
RNAcentral lists this transfer RNA (72 nucleotides) under marine sediment metagenome. Its description in RNAcentral is "tRNA-Met". It matches the Rfam family "tRNA". From Rfam's summary of the family: Transfer RNA (tRNA) molecules are approximately 80 nucleotides in length. Their secondary structure includes four short double-helical elements and three loops (D, anti-codon, and T loops). The record is from RNAcentral.